UGGGGAAUUUUGGACAAUGGGGGCAACCCUGAUCCAGCCAUGCCGCGUGAGUGAUGAAGGCCUUCGGGUUGUAAAGCUCUUUUGGCGGGGACGAUGAUGACGGUACCCGCAGAAUAAGCCCCGGCUAACUUCGUGCCAGCAGCCGCGGUAAGACGAAGGGGGCUAGCGUUGUUCGGAAUUACUGGGCGUAAAGCGAGUGUAGGCGGUUGCCGUAGUCAGGUGUGAAAGCCUUGAGCUCAACUCAAGAAAUGCACUUGAUACUGGGUGACUAGAGGACCGGAGAGGAUAGUGGAAUUCCCAGUGUAGUGGUGAAAUACGUAGAGAUUGGGAAGAACACCAGUGGCGAAGGCGGCUAUCUGGACGGUUACUGACGCUAAGACUCGAAAGCGUGGGGAGCAAACAGGAUUAGAUACCCUGGUAGUCCACGCCGUAAACGAUGGGUGCUAGACGUUGGCGAGCUUGCUCGUCAGUGUCGCAGCUAACGCGUUAAGCACCCCGCCUGGGGAGUACGGCCGCAAGGUUGAAACUCAAAUGAAUUGACGGGG
RNAcentral lists this ribosomal RNA (545 nucleotides) under uncultured bacterium. RNAcentral's name for it is "partial 16S ribosomal RNA". It matches the Rfam family "Bacterial small subunit ribosomal RNA", at positions 355 to 918 of the family's 1533-position model. The record is from RNAcentral.